Molecule: non-coding RNA, 25 nt
Filed under: Mus musculus (house mouse)
Lineage: Eukaryota; Metazoa; Chordata; Mammalia; Rodentia; Muridae
Source: RNAcentral
CUGGGAACUGUUUAUUUAGUCAAAA